UACAUGGGGUGCAAACGUUGCUCGGAAUUAUUGGGCGUAAAGCGCGCGUAGGCGGUUACUUAUGUCGGAUGUGAAAGCCCUCGGCUUAACUGAGGAAGUGCAUUCGAAACUGGGUAGCUAGAGUACUAAAGAGGGUCGCGGAAUUCCCAGUGUAGAGGUGAAAUUCGUAGAUAUUGGGAAGAACACCGGUGGCGAAGGCGGCUCACUGGCCCGUAACUGACGCUCAUGCACGACAGCGUGGGGAUCAAACAGG
Molecule: ribosomal RNA, 253 nt
Filed under: uncultured bacterium
Lineage: Bacteria
Description: partial 16S ribosomal RNA
Rfam family: Bacterial small subunit ribosomal RNA
Source: RNAcentral